Molecule: microRNA, 22 nt
Filed under: Paralichthys olivaceus (Japanese flounder)
Lineage: Eukaryota; Metazoa; Chordata; Actinopteri; Pleuronectiformes; Paralichthyidae
Description: pol-miR-122-3p
Gene: pol-miR-122-3p
Source: miRBase by way of RNAcentral
AACGCCAUUAUCACACUAUAUA